CUUUGUCCAAAAUGUUUUCACAUAAAUCAAAUUUGACAUUUUUCAUUUUCCAUACAAACGUGUUUUUAAAGUAUGUUUAUAAUACUUAUGUAUUGUGUCACUAAUAGUACAUUUGAAAAUCUAAAAUGCAUGUGAUCAAACAUUUUGUUCACUAAAUAUGUGCCUAGCAGGCACUUAAAAAUUGAAUUAUAAAUGUUUUAUACAUGAAUUAUAUUUAUACAUUUUUAUGCAUUCCAAUCAGGUAUACAAUGACCAACAAUCCGCCACGUAAAACAACAAUGCCAAUUGUUUUUUGUAAACAGAAUAGAAAUAAUAAGUACAGUAAAGCCAUGACUUAUACUUUUAUUAAAAUUACACUACCCUGUGCCUAAACCAUGUCAAGGUACCUAACUUUGUGGAUAAAAUUGUUAAAUUAAAAAGAAACGCUUGGAAAUUUAACAAAAUUUAAAAGUCGUACUUUGUGAUAAAAAAAGAAAAAAAGAAUUUGAACUUAAUAUAGCAUUAAGCAGAAUGCCAAUUGCCAAGAUGUCAGUAUUUUUGGAAGCGGAUUAUUUAGAUUAUUAUUUUUACCUGUGUUAUUGUUAUUCAUUAUUGUCACAAUAUAUUAUUAUGAUUGUAUAUUGAUGUCUAUACUUUAAAUUUAUGAUUUAAAAAUUGUACUUAAACAAAGGAAUUACUUGUUGAAAUCAAUUUUUGAUGGUCUUUGAUAUUUUAUAUAACAAACCUAUUAUUUUCAAUACUCGUUAUUUGUUUACAUUUUUUUUAUAGUUUAAAGUGUAAUAUUAAUUUGUAUUGUUUAAUAUCAUAUUAUAUAUUUAUAAAGUAUAUUUUUUUUUUUUUUUUAAAUGCCUACGCCAUGUUGUG
This is a non-coding RNA of Cinara cedri, 864 nucleotides long. NCBI's taxonomy places the organism in Eukaryota, Metazoa, Arthropoda, Insecta, Hemiptera, Aphididae. The record is from the annotation of a GenBank genome assembly.